GACGAACGCUGGCGGCGUGCCUAAUACAUGUAAGUCGAGCGAAGUUUUUCUGGUGCUUGCACUAGAAAAACUUAGCGGCGAACGGGUGAGUAACACGUAAAGAACCCGCCUCAUAGACUGGGACAACUAUUGGAAACGAUAGCUAAUACCGGAUAACAGUAUUUCUCGCAUGAGAGAUAUUUAAAAGUUGGUUAUGCUAACACUAUGAGAUGGCUUUGCGGUGCAUUAGCUAGUUGGUGGGGUAAAGGCCCACCAAGGCGACGAUGCAUAGCCGACCUGAGAGGGUGAUCGGCCACACUGGGACUGAGACACGGCCCAGACUCCUACGGGAGGCAGCAGUAGGGAAUCUUCCGCAAUGGGCGAAAGCCUGACGGAGCAACGCCGCGUGAGUGAAGAAGGAUUUCGGUUCGUAAAGCUCUGUUGUUAGGGAAGAAUGGAUAUGUAGUAACUAUACAUGUAAGAGACGGUACCUAACCAGAAAGCCACGGCUAACUACGUG
This 499-nucleotide ribosomal RNA is filed under the name uncultured bacterium. Its description in RNAcentral is "partial 16S ribosomal RNA". It matches the Rfam family "Bacterial small subunit ribosomal RNA", at positions 28 to 507 of the family's 1533-position model. The record is from RNAcentral.